UUAAAGGUUGCUUGGAGAUGGCGUAGUGGGGCUGUAGGUGGCUGGUUUCUGCUGCCGGCGCUGGAGAUUGGGAUUUAGCCGGAGAAGAAGAACCUCCGGCAGGUUGUAUGUGGUGGAGGGUUAAGGUAUCAGCCUUGACCAGUUGACCUCUUGACUUUCAUUCAACAUUUCUUCAUGGGCUAAUUAUUAAUUUCGGCCUGAUUUAUUUGGGUAAAUACUAAUAUUUUAUUUUGGGUUUUUUUUUAUGGACUCAAGUUCUCAAAGAAAUAUUGAAUGCGGGCUAGUUUGCUCUCAUGAGUUUUAUUUGAGAUAUAGAAUUUAAAAAUUAAAAUGGUUAAUUAAUUGGCGUGCGGGCUUGCAGCUAGCAAUUUCGGUCUACACAAUUAUGAAUUAAAUUUAAGGAAAUGUUCAAUUUAUCGGAUUAGUGAUAUCCCUCCUAGAUUAAAGAAAUAAACGCUAAUUGUGGGAUUAUAUAAUUAAAUGAUCACUUAGUAAUGCCAUCGAUAAUUAAGAUUAGCAGAUCAUAAUUAUCAUUUUACUAGUAUAUGGAUAUGAGUUUUGAUAUGAGGUUUUGCCUCUGUGCGGUGUUAAGUGGUUCGAGCUAGCUGUUUAUAUUUAUGAGAAUGUGAGACGACAUAUGUCAGCUUCCUGUGAAUUUUCUCAUUAUAUUUAUGGGUCGAACGCACCAAUAUCGGCUCAUUAUUUGUUAUAUGAAAUACUAGUUGUCUUUGUGAUAAUUGCAUGAAAGACAAAUUCUGGUCCCUGACAAUUAUACGAAAAAAAAAAACAGAAUUUGGCCCAUAAAACUUGUAUGUAAGACCGGGAUUUGGCCAUCAGUAUUGCGAGGAAAUACCAUAGGAGUACCCCAUGACACUUGUAUGUUUUUGUAUGUGGUAUUUUGGGGAAUUCACUAAGUUUUAUACUUACAAUUUCAUAUGUAUGGCUUCAGGUACUUUCAGUUCGAAAGUGUAACGUCCCCCUCCGGCAUGUAUCACAAUAUUGCCCGUUUUGGGCUCCCGGCACGAAAAAUUCCCAGGGAGUCACCCAUCCCUAUAUUGCUCUUGUUUGGGUAUGCUUAACUGUAGAGUUCUUAUGGGAUUUGUUGCCCUCACGACUUUAAAAAGCAUUGUAACAAUGAAGGUAUCAACACCCCUUAUAAGGAAAUGUUUCGUUCUUCUUCCAAGCCGAUGUGGGAUCAAGUGUACCCCACCUUUACCCCCAUUAUAGGGUUCAAUGUACUUAUCGAACACACCAGCUCUAAUACCAUUUAUGUCAAACCCCCG
Molecule: long non-coding RNA, 1283 nt
Filed under: Lactuca sativa (garden lettuce)
Lineage: Eukaryota; Viridiplantae; Streptophyta; Magnoliopsida; Asterales; Asteraceae
Description: long non-coding RNA (LSAT_LNC002691)
Source: RNAcentral